UNGCUAAUUGCUAUAAUCGGCUUCUUAGA
This 29-nucleotide non-coding RNA is filed under the name Rattus norvegicus (Norway rat). Lineage: Eukaryota; Metazoa; Chordata; Mammalia; Rodentia; Muridae. The record is from RNAcentral.